GAUGAACGCUGGCGGCGUGCCUAAUACAUGCAAGUCGAGCGAACAGACGAGGAGCUUGCUCCUCUGACGUUAGCGGCGGACGGGUGAGUAACACGUGGAUAACCUACCUAUAAGACUGGGAUAACUUCGGGAAACCGGAGCUAAUACCGGAUAAUAUAUUGAACCGCAUGGUUCAAUAGUGGAAGACGGUUUUGCUGUCACUUAUAGAUGGAUCCGCGCCGCAUUAGCUAGUUGGUAAGGUAACGGCUUACCAAGGCAACGAUGCGUAGCCGACCUGAGAGGGUGACCGGCCACACUGGAACUGAGACACGGUCCAGACUCCUACGGGAGGCAGCAGUAGGGAAUCUUCCGCAAUGGGCGAAAGCCUGACGGAGCAACGCCGCGUGAGUGAUGAAGGUCUUCGGAUCGUAAAACUCUGUUAUUAGGGAAGAACAAAUGUGUAAGUAACUAUGCACGUCUUGACGGUACCUAAUCAGAAAGCCACGGCUAACUACGUG
RNAcentral lists this ribosomal RNA (497 nucleotides) under uncultured bacterium. RNAcentral's name for it is "partial 16S ribosomal RNA". It matches the Rfam family "Bacterial small subunit ribosomal RNA", at positions 28 to 507 of the family's 1533-position model. The record is from RNAcentral.